RNAcentral lists this ribosomal RNA (261 nucleotides) under uncultured bacterium. Its description in RNAcentral is "partial 16S ribosomal RNA". It matches the Rfam family "Bacterial small subunit ribosomal RNA", at positions 793 to 1055 of the family's 1533-position model. The record is from RNAcentral.
GUCCACGCCCUAACGAUGCAUACUUGGUGUGAGCCAUUCAGUUGGUUCGUGCCGGAGCUAACGCGUUAAGUAUGCCGCCUGGGGAGUACGGUCGCAAGGCUGAACUCAAAGGAAUUGACGGGGCCCGCACAAGCGGUGGAGCAUGUGGUUCAAUUCGACGCAACGCAAAGAACCUUACCUGGGCUCGAACGGCUUUUCAACGUUUGUGGAAACACAGAUAUCCCGCAAGGGAGUAGAGUCGAGGUGCUGCAUGGCUGUCGU